GAUGAACGCUGGCGGCGUGCUUAACACAUGCAAGUCGAACGGAAAGGCCCCAGCUUGCUGGGGUACUCGAGUGGCGAACGGGUGAGUAACACGUGGGUGAUCUGCCCUGCACUUUGGGAUAAGCUUGGGAAACUGGGUCUAAUACCGAAUAUGACCACUUCUUGGAUGUUGUGGUGGAAAGCUUUUGCGGUGUGGGAUGAGCCUGCGGCCUAUCAGCUUGUUGGUGGGGUAAUGGCCUACCAAGGCGGCGACGGGUAUCCGGCCUGAGAGGGUGUACGGACACAUUGGGACUGAGAUACGGCCCAGACUCCUACGGGAGGCAGCAGUGGGGAAUAUUGCACAAUGGGCGCAAGCCUGAUGCAGCGACGCCGCGUGGGGGAUGAAGGCCUUCGGGUUGUAAACUCCUUUCGCUAUCGACGAAGCCACUUGUGGUGACGGUAGGUAGAUAAGAAGCACCGGCUAACUACGUACCAGCAGCCGCCGUAA
This 486-nucleotide ribosomal RNA is filed under the name uncultured bacterium. RNAcentral describes it as "partial 16S ribosomal RNA". It matches the Rfam family "Bacterial small subunit ribosomal RNA", at positions 28 to 523 of the family's 1533-position model. The record is from RNAcentral.